CCUACGGGAGGCUGCAGUGAGGAAUAUUGGUCAUUGGGCGCGAGCCUGCACCAGCAAAGUAGCGUGACGGAUGACUGCCCUAAGGGUUGUAAACUUCUUUUAUAAAGGAAUAAAGUGAGGCACGUGUGCCUUUUUGUAUGUACUUUAUGAAUAAGGAUCGGCUAACUCCGUGACAGGAGCCGCGGUAAUACGGAGGAUCCGAGCGUUAUCCGGAUUUAUUGGGGUUAAAGGGAGCGUAGAUGGGUUUUUAAGUCAGUUGUGAAAGUUUGCGGCUCAACCGUAAAAUUGCAGUUGAUACUGGCAGCAUUGAGUACAGUUGAGGUAGGCGGAAUUCGUGGUGUAGCGGUGAAAUGCUUAGAUAUCACGAAGAACUCCGAUUGCGAAGGCAGCUUACUAAACUGCCACUGACAUUGAUGCUCGAAAGUGUGGGUAUCAAACAGGAUUAGAUACCCGGGUAGUC
This 460-nucleotide ribosomal RNA is filed under the name uncultured bacterium. RNAcentral's name for it is "partial 16S ribosomal RNA". It matches the Rfam family "Bacterial small subunit ribosomal RNA", at positions 338 to 795 of the family's 1533-position model. The record is from RNAcentral.